GACAGUGUGAUGUAGUGGUUUGGCUGUUGGACUAGGAUUCUGGAGACCAGGGUUUGAAUCCCUGCUUGGCCA
Molecule: non-coding RNA, 72 nt
Organism: Phrynosoma platyrhinos (Desert horned lizard)
Lineage: Eukaryota; Metazoa; Chordata; Lepidosauria; Squamata; Phrynosomatidae
Source: the annotation of a GenBank genome assembly